AAUGGCUUGUGGAGAAAUAGGUAGUUAAGGAUAGUUAGAGACCGAUGGUAUUGGAGUUCAGCAAAAGUACCUAGUUGGGGGUAAGGUAAAUGGUCACUUGGUUAGAACUUGAAAUUUGCUUGAAUUUACUUUGAUUUUAUUUUGGAUUUUUACCACUUUUUGCAUGUACUUUUGAUGAAUCAAACUAUGGACUUAAGUACUUUCGGAGAGUGGUCUUGUGUUGUAAAUAAAUAUUUUUGAGUGGUGUAAAUUUAUGGAUUGAAAAUCGAAUAUUU
Molecule: long non-coding RNA, 275 nt
Filed under: Lathyrus oleraceus (garden pea)
Lineage: Eukaryota; Viridiplantae; Streptophyta; Magnoliopsida; Fabales; Fabaceae
Description: Pisum sativum (pea) long non-coding RNA (PSAT_LNC035516)
Source: RNAcentral